AGCUACACUGUUACAACAUGCAUACAAAUUGAAAUCUGCGUUCCCAAUCCGUGUAAAAAUGGAGGAACUUGCACUGACAGGGACAGUGAGUUCCAAUGCGCAUGUUUAACUGGCUAUGAAGGAGAUACUUGUCAAACAGAAAGGCCCAUUUUUGGAGUAGGAGCCGUGGUAGGUAUCGCAGUCGGCUGUAUUGUCGGCGGAAUGCUGCUAGUGGGCGCUGUUACACUCAUUAUUCUAUGUUGCCGGAAGGAGAAGAACAAAGAACAUGACAUAGCGGAAGCAGUUUACGAAGACGUCCGCACACCAGGCAGGGCGGUGUCUCAGCGAUCCGGCACCGGAAGUGACGUCUACUACUCCUAUCCCAUGGCACCUUUGCCCGUGCCUCCGCUUCCGGUACAACCUAGCGGCCAUUAUCAGGAGCUGAGGCCAGCGGUGUACCAGAGUCUACAAAGGCACCAGCGUACAUCACCUCAACCCCCGAACCCCACCGGAGAUCGAAGCGCCUUCACAAUCUCGCGUGAUUUUUCAACGUAGUUCCUGAGAAAAACGUAUACAGAUACUGUGUAUAUAUUACUCACAUCGCUUUAAAUAGAAGAAUAACAUAUAUUUGCCUAAAGAAGAAUAAAAACAAGGCU
This is a long non-coding RNA of Branchiostoma floridae (Florida lancelet), 635 nucleotides long. RefSeq lists it as uncharacterized. The transcript has 4 exons. The record is from RefSeq and is a predicted model, not a curated record. Lineage: Eukaryota; Metazoa; Chordata; Leptocardii; Amphioxiformes; Branchiostomatidae.